Terrapene triunguis (Three-toed box turtle) is the source of this 2912-nucleotide long non-coding RNA. RefSeq lists it as uncharacterized. The transcript is spliced from 5 exons. The record is from RefSeq and is a predicted model, not a curated record. Lineage: Eukaryota; Metazoa; Chordata; Testudines; Emydidae.
GUCCAGACCCGGUCAUCCCUCAUAGAAAAGUAAAGUCUGGAGCGAAACAUCACUAUGUUGUUGGCGAUAAUGUUACAAUUGAAUGUUCUACAUUAUACACUGUGCAUGGUGAACCGAAUAUUCGGUGCACUGAUGAAUUUCAGUGGAAGCCUGCAAUUCCAGAAUGUAGACUAAGUUUGUACAUCAAAAUUAUUAUUGGAGUAAUUGUAAUCGCUGCGAUACUGGUGGUGGCUAUUUGCAUCUAUAAGAGAUAUUUUUCACAAAAAGGCUCAUACCAAACCGAUGAAAACUGCAAAGAAGCAUGCAUUUUAAAUACUAAAGUACCAGAUGAAAGUGAAGCAUCUGCAUUAAAGAAUUAAUUGAAACAUAAAAGGAAAGAUGUCUCCACUUCACCUACUGCUCAAUACACCUCAUGUAAAACCUGAUUGGUGGGGAAGGGGCAGUGGUGAAAGAAUGAAGCGAAAGGACUGCAUUUGCACUAUAUUUCUGUAGUGGAAUAUUUAGCCCCUACUUUCACCGGAAUUGAAGAUGCUUUCAUCUAGAUUUUCUUCUCCUUUUGUGAUUGACUGCUAUAGGCAUCUACUGCAUCUUUACCAAGGCAGAAAGCCAGAACAUAUACCAAUGCCAUCCCUUUUAGCUCACUUGUCUGUGUGCGAAAUUAACUUAUAAAAAGCUUCGUGUGUCUCACAGCAGCCUUGCAGCAUCCUCCUGCGUCCAGAAGAGACUAUGCAAUGAGAGAGUGCUUGGUAGGUUCUUCAUACGAUUUAUAUCGCAUGAGUGGCCAUAUUGUUUAAAUUAUCUAAGUACCUCUAUUUUAGGAAGGUGACUGUGCCUAUUGAGAGAGAUGGUGCUUAAGUUAUGAAAAUUAACUUAAGUUUUGCACAUUAGUUUUCAUAUUUCUUACUUGCAAAUAACGGGAAUAAACUUCUCUUGCUGUCCACUGCUUUUGGAUAUACUGUGCAUCUAAAUCAGGUUUUUGUGUAACCUUCCUGUUAAGGCAAUUACUUGGUCUUGGUGUGCAACACGGGGGAGCCUGGGUAGUAAUUCUGUCCCAGUUAAGACUGCAAAGGACCUCCUUGAAUGGGGAAUCAAAAGCAUGACCACAUCAGAAACAUCCUGUUGCCACUCAGAUUUGCUAGAUAAUGAAGGUUUCCCACUGGAAGUGAUGGAAGAUACUUGAUUGGACAAAGUGCUGGCAAAUACACUCUUUUUAAUUGCAAUAUAAAUACAAUCUUGAGGUGGAAGUUGAAUGAGGAAACACUUUUUUUCCUUGCUGAAGGACCAGCCAAUACUUGUCAGCUGAAACAGCCCCAAAAAAAAUUACAUUAGGGAUCUUGGAUGGGAGGUUUCCGACUGGAAUUGAGUUCUUGGUGCAUCUCUGAAAUCAUAUACUUAAAUCUGUUUUUCUUCCCAGAGACUUGGCUGCUGAGUUCAAUCCAAGCUUUAUGACUUGAAAUGUAUAAUAUUAUGAAAAUUGUCAUGAUCUAUCUCAUAGCAACAUGUGCCUAAGCUAAUAAACCACCUCUUACCACAGACCAUGUAGGCAGUUCUGUUAUAGGUUCACUUUCCCACAGAAGGAAGUGGGUGCAAUUUAAUUUUUUUAUUUCAGAUGUUCAUUGCUCUGUGUGAUAUGGAUGUAUAUAUUUGUAUUAGUACUUUAUUACUGUGUUUGAAUAAAUAAGAUCUCAUCGCACUGUCUAACAUUUCUGAUAAAAAAAAUGUUAGCUAGACUGUGGGGCAUGCUUAACAAGGAAGGGCUAGAUUCACAAACUUUUUGGGGCCAAGAAAAUCACUGGAAUUCACAAAGUCUAGGCAGGCUGUGCAAUGAAUGGGAAGAGUCAGAAACCAGCAUGUUUAAGAUGCUCCUUGUAUAAGGUAGCCAGUAGGUGGUACACAGCCAAGAGGUAGGUGCUAAGCUCUACCCCUCUCUGAGAUUGGCACCUCUGUGCUGUGAAUCCUGUGGGGUGAAGUACCUACACUGUUUUUGCAGGAAGCGGGGGGAGGGGGCAGGGUUGCUCAAGCUUGCAGGCACUCACUCAGCAUUUAUCCAUCAUGCAACAGCUUCUACGUUGAUCCAGCAAGAAGGAGCAAGCAAGUAUGAGUGACUCAGUAACCGAAUGAUUAGAGCAUGCACCUAGGAGCUGGACAUGUGCUCCAGUGACUUUUUUUAAAAUGAUUCGCAGUGGAACAGUUUCAACUGGAUAUACUGAAAGAAUCCUACAGCAGCCUAGGGCACUCACUGAGCAAUGGCAGAACCCUGUUCAAAUCCCUUCUCUCCCUCAGGUGGAGAGGGGACUUGAACCAUGGGUCUCCCAGGUGAGUUUCCUUCUAACUUUUAGCCCAGUGAAUAGGGUAAUCUGUGCCCUCUGGUCAUUUUGUGUAAGCUCAUCUCUAGGGGCUUGAUCUAGCAGGCAAGGUGUGAGCAUGCUUACCAGAUAGGACCCCACAGAUGAGCGAGAGGACCAUCUACCUUUUCCUGGUUUAUGCACUCUUCUGGGGCUUCAGCUUUAGUUGCCCUACAUCCUUUUGUGAAUCUAACCCAAAAUGUCAACUACUAGUCUUUUUGCUUAUCAAAAUAGCUUUAACAGCUAGGACCCUGCUCCUGCAAAGACUUACUGUGAAUAGUCCCACUAUAUAUGUACAAGAAAACAUUGUUAUAGACUAGGGGUCUAGUGGGGUGGAAUUGCUUUCUAAGUACAGGGUAUAUUAGAAAUGCCUAUAUCAAUCAUUGGACUGUUUUAUAGUGCCUUUCACUGUUAAGGGGGCAGGGGAGAGCUAUUUAAAAUGCUAGUGUGAUUUUAACCAUCUUCCUUAUUUAGUACUAUUCAGUUUAUGAACACAAGGAUUUGUCUUAAUGUAAAGUCUAGUAUCCACUUGUAUUAUUACUAAUAAAGAAAAGUGAUUUUUUUUAA